This 426-nucleotide ribosomal RNA is filed under the name uncultured archaeon. RNAcentral describes it as "bacterial SSU rRNA". It matches the Rfam family "Archaeal small subunit ribosomal RNA", at positions 474 to 903 of the family's 1478-position model. The record is from RNAcentral.
UACCAGCUCUCCGAGUGGUAGGGAUGAUUAUUGGGCUUAAAGCGUCCGUAGCCGGCUUAGCAAGUCUCCUGUUAAAUUCAGCGACCUAAUCGUUGAGCCGCGGGAGAUACUACUAGGCUAGGAGGCGGGAGGGGUCAACGGUACUUCCGGGGUAGGGGUGAAAUCCUAUAAUCCCGGGAGGACCACCAGUGGCGAAGGCUGUUGACUAGAACGCGCUCGACGGUGAGGGACGAAAGCUGGGGGAGCGAACCGGAUUAGAUACCCGGAUAGUCCAGCUGUAAACGAUGCGAGCUAGGUGUUGGGGUGGCUACGUGCCACCUCAGUGCCGCAGGGAAGCCAUUAAGCUCGCCGCCUGGGGAGUACGGCCGCAAGGCUGAAACUUAAGGAAUUGGCGGGGAGCACCACAAGGCGUGAAGCUUGCGGUUC